This is a non-coding RNA of Theobroma cacao (cacao), 632 nucleotides long. NCBI's taxonomy places the organism in Eukaryota, Viridiplantae, Streptophyta, Magnoliopsida, Malvales, Malvaceae. The record is from RefSeq and is a predicted model, not a curated record.
UUUAGUUGUGAUUUCUUGAGGAGAUGAGUUGGUAAUUGUGUGAGAAUGUUUGUGGCAGCAAAGGUCCUCCAAGAAUUAAAAGAAAUAGAUGCAUGCUUGUGGGUAAAUCUUGGAAUCCUUGGUGAUUUAGCACUAGAUAAGUUAUGGGUACGUAUUUUGGUCUUGAAAUCACAAGUAAAUAAAAGAAAUGAGAUGUGUAUUAAUUGUUUAUGUUUGUGGAAGCAAUGGUGACCAUGGGUGUGAGGCAAUUGUGAGCUAUAUGUGUGGAAUUCAAGCUAAAACAGAAAGGAAGCGUAUAAGUAGAGAAGUUGCUGUGGUGGCGUGCUAGAGGAAGUAAUGGGUGACCGGCAAGUAGAAUUAGCUAGAUACGCAUCCGAGUCAAUAGCGAAGUAGUAUCCCACUAUUGUGAGAUAGUGAUCGGCUAGCGUGCAAUCAUCGGCACUUAUGGUUCACCACGGAUAGGUAAAGGCAUCUUAUAGCAUUUCAUUCUAAGUCACUCCGCUAUUAGAGGUCGAGUCAUUCGUAGCAUAAUUUGAUUGUAAAUAGUAUUAAUGUAAAGGUAUGGUUGGAUAUUAAAAACCUUUAUGUACUUCUACAAUUAUGUUGAAUAAAAGUUGAGUUGAUUUAUCAUA